CAAAUAAUUUGAUUUAGAAUGUACCACAAAUAUGAAAACGCGUGAACGAUUAUCUCCCUUUUGUGGAACUCUCCUGCUGAUAAAGAACAGAAAGUUGCUGUUGCAGCAGAAGUCGGAGAAGAAAAACACCAUGUAAAGAUGUAUAAAGCAGGUCUUGUGCGGUUACAGAGGACAUGACAGCAUCAAAAGUUUGAGAAUCAUGAUGAUAAUCAGUUGCAAUGUGAACUACCAAAUAACCAUUAAGUAAAAGCAGAUCCAGUUAGUGUGGAACAAAUAAAGGAGAAUCAUGAUGAUGAUGAGCUGCUAUGUGAACUACCAAAUAACCAUGAAGUACAACCAGAUUCAAAGCAUAUGGAACAAAUAGAGGUGGAAUCAACUUCAGACGACAACUUUUCCCAACACCUUGUGAAAGUCAUCUGAAUGCCAGGAUUCUCAAGAG
Long non-coding RNA from Saccostrea cuccullata (small rock oyster), 439 nucleotides. RefSeq lists it as uncharacterized. The record is from RefSeq and is a predicted model, not a curated record. The transcript has 4 exons. NCBI's taxonomy places the organism in Eukaryota, Metazoa, Mollusca, Bivalvia, Ostreida, Ostreidae.